This 254-nucleotide ribosomal RNA is filed under the name uncultured bacterium. Its description in RNAcentral is "partial 16S ribosomal RNA". It matches the Rfam family "Bacterial small subunit ribosomal RNA", at positions 524 to 776 of the family's 1533-position model. The record is from RNAcentral.
UACGUAGGGUGCGAGCGUUAAUCGGAAUUACUGGGCGUAAAGGGCGCGUAGGCGGCCAUCUAAGUCAGACGUGAAAUCCCCCGGCUUAACCUGGGAACUGCGUCUGAUACUGGACGGCUCGAGUAUGGGAGAGGGAUGUAGAAUUCCAGGUGUAGCGGUGAAAUGCGUAGAUAUCUGGAGGAAUACCGGUGGCGAAGGCGGCAUCCUGGACCAUUUACUGACGCUGAGGCGCGAAAGCUAGGGGAGCAAACGGG